Molecule: long non-coding RNA, 804 nt
Filed under: Phoenix dactylifera (date palm)
Lineage: Eukaryota; Viridiplantae; Streptophyta; Magnoliopsida; Arecales; Arecaceae
Description: long non-coding RNA (PDAC_LNC012453)
Source: RNAcentral
UCUGCCAAAAGAAAUUAGCCUCCCAUUACAAGCAUUAACAUCUCUCUCUUUUUUUCUUUUUUUCGGAAAACAGGGGAUGCCCUAUUUCCUUCUUUCUCUUUUUCCUUCAACCCCGCAGCCGCCUCCUCUGUUCCCUUCCUUCAACCGCAGCAGCCCCCGCCUCCUCUGUUCUUCCUCUUCUUCUCCCCAAAUGAGCCUCUACCCUCCUCCCAGCCGAGAGAGAUCCUUAUAUAGUUCGUGAGAGCCCUAUUGCUCGCCGGAAAAUGGGCGCGGAUGGCUGUGGAGGAGCUGAUUGCGGAUGCUGGAAACCCUGGGCGGUGAUCGCGGGAGCUGGAGCUUGGACGAUCGGGAUAAAUGGGGCUGAGAGGUAAUCGCGGCUGGAUCCGGUGCUGAGAAUGGACGCGAUGGAGGAUCGCCACAGACGCUGGGAUCAUGAACAUGGGAGAAUCACGCUGAGAGCUGGACGCGUGAAUGGAGGAGGCGGACGCUGGGGCUGCGCGUGAGGAUCACUGGAGACGCUUCAUGAGAGGCUCGCACGGGAUCUGGAGGCUUGAUACGGGUGCUCCGCGGAUGCUUGGGAGGUGAUCGCGGUCAAGACGGGAUUGCUGGGAGAAGAGGAUCGGACGCCGUGGAUGAAGCGGACGCUGGGAUUGGGAGGUUGAGGACGCGGUCAAGACGGGAAGGGAGCUGAUCACUGGUGCGGAUGGAAUCAGGAUGCUAGGAUUGGGUGUGGGAGAUCAGAUCACAAAUCCUGGCUCACGGAUGGCUGGAAGCUUGAGUUGCAUUGCGGAAUUUGGGGAGUCG